CCUAACACAUGCAAGUCGAACGGUAACAGGAAGAAGCUUGCUUCUUUGCUGACGAGUGGCGGACGGGUGAGUAAUGUCUGGGAAACUGCCUGAUGGAGGGGGAUAACUACUGGAAACGGUAGCUAAUACCGCAUAACGUCGCAAGACCAAAGAGGGGGACCUUCGGGCCUCUUGCCAUCAGAUGUGCCCAGAUGGGAUUAGCUAGUAGGUGGGGUAACGGCUCACCUAGGCGACGAUCCCUAGCUGGUCUGAGAGGAUGACCAGCCACACUGGAACUGAGACACGGUCCAGACUCCUACGGGAGGCAGCAGUGGGGAAUAUUGCACAAUGGGCGCAAGCCUGAUGCAGCCAUGCCGCGUGUAUGAAGAAGGCCUUCGGGUUGUAAAGACUU
This 391-nucleotide ribosomal RNA is filed under the name uncultured bacterium. RNAcentral describes it as "bacterial SSU rRNA". It matches the Rfam family "Bacterial small subunit ribosomal RNA", at positions 47 to 435 of the family's 1533-position model. The record is from RNAcentral.